AAGUCCCAUUGUAGUCUCCCCAGAUAACAUGCAGCACAUUCAUCUGUGAUCGUCUGGGUCAAAGAACAUCUUAU
This is a long non-coding RNA of Etheostoma cragini (Arkansas darter), 74 nucleotides long. RefSeq lists it as uncharacterized. The record is from RefSeq and is a predicted model, not a curated record. The transcript has 3 exons. NCBI's taxonomy places the organism in Eukaryota, Metazoa, Chordata, Actinopteri, Perciformes, Percidae.